GUAAUGGUAGGUUAUACUUUGUGUAUAAUGUAUAAAGGGGAGAUAAUCAAUCCAAAUGACUUCAUAGGGGGUGAACAAUAAAGAUUUGUUUUAUACUGUCAGGUUUGAGGUAAUGGUAGGUUAUACUUUGUGUAUGUUGUAUAAAGGGGAGAUAAUCAAUCCAAAUGACUUCAUAGGGGUGAACAAUAAAGAUUUGUUUUAUACUGUCAGGUUUGAGGUAAUGGUAGGUUAUUUACUUUGUGUAUAAUGUAUUAAGGGGAGAUAAUCAAUCCAAAUGACUUCAUAGGGGGUGAACAAUAAAGAUUUGUUUUAUACUGUCAGGUUUGAGGUAAUGGUAGGUUAUAUUUACUUUGUGUAUAAUGUAUUAAGGGGAGAUAAUCAAUCCAAAUGACUUCAUAGGGGGUGAACAAUAAAGAUUUAUUUUAUACUGUCAGGUUUGAGGUAAUGGUAGGUUAUACUUUGUGUA
This 466-nucleotide long non-coding RNA is filed under the name Mytilus galloprovincialis (Mediterranean mussel). The record is from RNAcentral. Lineage: Eukaryota; Metazoa; Mollusca; Bivalvia; Mytilida; Mytilidae.